This is a long non-coding RNA of Saccostrea cuccullata (small rock oyster), 775 nucleotides long. RefSeq lists it as uncharacterized. The transcript has 3 exons. The record is from RefSeq and is a predicted model, not a curated record. NCBI's taxonomy places the organism in Eukaryota, Metazoa, Mollusca, Bivalvia, Ostreida, Ostreidae.
AACAACAGACCGCCAAAAUUUAACCUUGGCCUCCAUGUUGCAACGUCUGCUCUGUCUAAAGGAGGAAGUUUGUUGACCAGACAGCCUGAGAUCGUAUUGCUGUAUCAACCAAAAGAUGCAGAUACACGUAUUUCAUAUGCGCGUCUGUGCAUGAGGAGAUUUCUGAAAAAGAAUAAGUGCUUGUUCAACUUACUGCGAUUUUAACGGGCUUAAAGCUUGGUCCAUGGAUGGUUAUGUUUGAGGAUUUGCCAAUUCGACCGCAAGUGCUGCUGCAAGAAAUUAAACAUGCAGAGACCUUACAAAUUACAAAGAAGUCUGAAGAAAAUUUUUAUUGGACAGAUGGGUGUAAAGCACAGACCUGAGAUAUAAAUUGAAUUGUGAGAAAUAUGAAUCAGGGAUGCAGGUAGAAAAUGGCAAAUGUGAUCCAGAUUGAUAAAAAAUGUCUAAAAAAUUUUCUUGUUUUGUAAAUAUUCAAUGCUAUGUCAAUUGUUAUUUUUUCCCCAAUAUCUAAUAGUGUUGAACAUUUCACUCCCACUUUUGCUUAAAUAGAAUGAAUAAAUUUCCAUUUAUUUAAUAUGAAUAUUAAAAAAUGCCACAUUUUUUCCAUGAUGAACUUGUGGCUUAAAUAAGAGUUCCAGUUUUUUUCCAUACAUGCUCCUAUUUGUUUGUCAAAGAUAUAAGAUCCAAUACAUUGCUCAUGAACAUAAUGUGUAAUUUUGUUCAUUCAUUUAUAUGUUUUUUUCUCAUAAUGAUAUAAUAAAUUGUAUAUAAUUUU